GCCGAAGUGGUGGAACUGGUAGACGCGCUGGCUUCAGGUGCCAGUGAGGAAUAUCCUCAUGGGGGUUCGAGUCCCCCCUUCGGCA
This 85-nucleotide transfer RNA is filed under the name candidate division KSB3 bacterium. RNAcentral describes it as "tRNA-Leu". It matches the Rfam family "tRNA". From Rfam's summary of the family: Transfer RNA (tRNA) molecules are approximately 80 nucleotides in length. Their secondary structure includes four short double-helical elements and three loops (D, anti-codon, and T loops). RNAcentral also lists the same sequence under 1 other name. The record is from RNAcentral.